This 129-nucleotide small RNA is filed under the name Halopseudomonas pachastrellae. Lineage: Bacteria; Pseudomonadati; Pseudomonadota; Gammaproteobacteria; Pseudomonadales; Pseudomonadaceae. The record is from RNAcentral.
UGCGCGACGGACAGCGCUGCUCGGCAGGGAGCUUGAGCCAAGGAUUUUCAGGACGAUGAAGCCAGGAUGGCUGGACACGGAAGGCAUGAAGGGACUAAAGAGUGGGCCGGUUUACCGGCCCCUUUUUUU